This is a long non-coding RNA of Manis pentadactyla (Chinese pangolin), 1896 nucleotides long. RefSeq lists it as uncharacterized. The transcript is spliced from 4 exons. Lineage: Eukaryota; Metazoa; Chordata; Mammalia; Pholidota; Manidae. The record is from RefSeq and is a predicted model, not a curated record.
UGAGGAAUCCUGCGUUGGGGAGGAGGCAAUAGCCUCCUGCUGGGAGGAGUGAAAGGAUUAUAAAAAACCCACUUUCUCUAGCUCUGGACCACAGAUCUCUUAAUCUUUUGGAACCGUCUUGGAGGAUGCUCAUGCUAAGAAGACUUUGGUUGAACGUGAGUAUAAUGCUGAUGUAGAUCACUUAGCAGCUGUAGCUGAAGUGGAAUGUUCUACACCCAUUAGUGAUGAAACAGCACUUGCACGAUAGAUUCAUCACAAGACAAGACAUGCAGACUCUUCUGCUGUGGACACCUGCAAUGAGUAAUGCAUGGACACCUGGAACUCAACUAGAACUGCCAACCCACUACAAUGUUACCAAAGCUGAGUGGCACGUCUCGAGUUGCUCCACUGGAACGGUGAUGUUUUCUACCUAGCUCCCGAUCUAGAGAAUGAUGAAGCUUUUUCCUGGACUCCUCGUCACUUACAACCUCCUUCUGCGUAUCUGAAUUUAACUCUAGCAACCAUCUUACAGAAUUCCCAAUUGUUAUCUCGUCAUUUGGCUUAACCUUAGCUAAACCUUAGCUAAACAUCGAUUGACUACCACCAUAACAUCCAACCAAUUAAAAGACUUUUCUCAUGUUACAACCCAGGGCUCUAAUCACCACUGGUGAAACUCUUUGUUUGGAAGUUCCACUGCCUACAAGUAUUUCUCAGCUAUAUUUACCCCUCUUCUGUUAAUAAUUAUAACCCUCAUUGUUUUGUGUUUUUGUAACUGUUAGAUGUACCACCAUAUGCAAAAGAUAUAUACCCUGUUUUCACUAAGACAUGCACGUACAAACUAUGCAUAUUCCCCCAAGCAGCCCUAGGACUGAAUUGUAAUGAAGUAUAGAAUGUUAAGGCCUGCUCGGGGUCAUAUGAGUUUACCAGGCUCAAGGUAUGCACCCCUUCCCCAGAGGAGCUGGCCACUCCUCAGGGAGAAGGGAAAGACAACCCUGGGCUGCGUUCAGAGAUACUUGUCCUUGGGCUAUGUGCCUGGGAUAACUACCUUGGGAAACAGGCCCUGGACGUUUCUAUAACAGCGAGUUGUGAACGCGGCCCCGUCUCCUGGCCAGAUCCGGGUCCGUACGUGACUCAUGCAUGUGCCUAUUGGCACUGAGCCUCUUUUGUUAAAACCAGCAUAAAUAUCAGCGUAGAGAAACCACGAGCAGCCUUCCCUCAAGUGUGCUUGGAGUACUGCUGCCUUGUCGUCCUCCUCUGAGGCUUGCCCGUGAUGAUUUGUUUUCCGGUGCUGAUGAUGGGGUUGUGGUAUGAUGAACUGAUUCUUGUUUGCUUGCUUGCUCUUCCUCUUGUUUUCCUCCCCUGAGACUUGCCCAUGAUAUUUGUUUUCCGGUGCUGAUGAUAAGGUCCUAGUGGUAUAAUAGACUGAUUUUCCUGAAACUUCUCUGUUUCCCUUAUCUCCUCCUCCUCUUAAUAAAGGGAAAGUAUACUAAACAGCUGCAGCUUGUGGUGGUGUGUCUUGCGUAUGGAGCCCAAAUUAGCAUUUAAGCCUGUGCACAGCAAUUGAUAAACUGAUUAUCAAUACAACUGGAUGUUUGCCUGCAGGUAUUCAGGAGAAAACUGCCCCCAGCUCUGCUGGGGAAGCUGAGAGGCAGAGCUGGACCGAAUGGCACCAUUUGGGUCAUCCAGAGAAACACUUGGGUGACCUGGGGUCAGGCCUGCGCCUCCCUCCGCAGAGCCAGCAGGAGCUGGCAUGAACCAGGAAGCUUCCCAGGGCUUGUGAGGUACAUGAAGAGGCUGGAUGAAGGAGCUUUCUCCUUCAGAGAGGAGCAGAGUGUCCUGAGAGGGCAUGCCGGCUGUGAGGCUUGAAGGGGAGUGAGGUGACUUGAAGUGCUGGGACAAACUCCGUCUGUCUGGCAG